CGUGCUUCGGUGGCGCGCCGCCCAGAGCGCCUGCGACUGGAAGCGUCGAGGAGAGUCCGCGGCCGGCGCAGCUGCCAGACGCGCCUCGCACCCUCGCGGCGACCACCGGCGAGGUUGCCCCUGGAGCGCCUGUUUUCCCUUAGCUUCUGAACUAGCGAUGUAAAAGCUCUGACUAUAAAAGUGAUAAAAUGAGUACAUCAGUGAUAUACACAUUUGAGGACACUCAGCCCAUGGUAUUUUCCUUACCUGAAUGGAUAAACUUUCUGGACCUCAAGUUUGUCCAGAUGUAAAUGAAAAGCUUACUGAACUUGCAGCUGUCAUCAUGCAUUAUUGUAACUGUAGGAUGAGAAGGAAGGAGCAACAUUUCCAGUCACCUAAGAAGAAUGCUGAGGAAGAACAAAACCAAAGGUGGCUUUAACAAGUGAGAAGACUGAGGUCCUUCAAGGUUAACUCAAUUCAUGGAAACAUUCAACAAGUUCUCAACUUUAGGACUCCACACUCAAAUUUUCAGCUGAGUCCCCAUUCUACUGUGGCAGGCUUUGGGGACAGUUUAAAGGAGAAUUGUUACUGACUUUUCAAAAAUAAAGUUAGUUCACUCUGGC
This is a long non-coding RNA of Microcebus murinus (gray mouse lemur), 602 nucleotides long. RefSeq lists it as uncharacterized. NCBI's taxonomy places the organism in Eukaryota, Metazoa, Chordata, Mammalia, Primates, Cheirogaleidae. The record is from RefSeq and is a predicted model, not a curated record.